UCCUGGUUAACUAAGUUGGUGCAGCGCUCCACUGGAACUGGAGUUGUGCCAGGUUCGAUACCAGGACCAGGCG
This 73-nucleotide transfer RNA is filed under the name Ixodes scapularis (black-legged tick). RNAcentral's name for it is "tRNA-Ser for anticodon GGA". The record is from RNAcentral. Lineage: Eukaryota; Metazoa; Arthropoda; Arachnida; Ixodida; Ixodidae.